CCAUGAGGUAAACAGGUCGGGUCGGGAUGGAUUUGCCAUGCAUCCUCAGGAGAGAUGAAAUGUUUAAACCAAUCUGAGCAUCUUCUCUUGUCUUUAAUUGUCACCCAGAGUGCACUAAGAACGCCUGCAGCCCUACAACCGGAGAUACUCAACCCUCCAUCCUCACCGAGUUCACCAGAACCUUCACCUGGGAGCUGACGGCACCAGAGAAGAUAGUCGUGAGUCUGAACAUCCUCGGAGAAGGACUGUUGGAGACCACACAGCCAUGCUCGAAUGGAUUUCAGUAUUUUGUCGCAAACGGCAAAGACCAGACUCGGUACUGUCGAGGCGGUUCUGUGACGACUUUGGACCUGCCGGACAAAGCUGUCAUUUCUCUACAAGUUAAACCAAACGCUGCAGUUGAGCCUGUGUUGUUCCAAGCCUCCGCUGGACCAAUAAGUAAGAAAAUAUUGAAACUCUUUUAAGAAAGCCUGAGCAUAAACCUAAAGAUGGGUUUACAGUAGCCGGUGGAAGCUCAAAAAUCCUCUGUGUUUCACUCGUUCCUUUUUACUCCUUCAGAGGGCCGAACAAUGGUUGUAAGUGUUGAUUCCAGCACGACGGUGGUGGUUAGCCGUAAUCCUGGCAAACCAGAAUGUGAAGUGUGCUCUCCGGAUGGAUCCACUCCCAACUGUAGCCCGACGGAAAAGACCCUGACGAACGUUGAUAAACUCUCACUGGAGUUCAGCUGCCCCAAACCCCAGGACAUGUACAGCAUGAAGAUGAACAAGAAGAUAGGAUGCACCACGGCCUUGUGCACUCCUGCUGCCGGAGAAGUCGAUCCUGAACUCUUCAAGGACUUUAAAAGGUCCCUAACAUGGGACAUCAGUGUCCCAGACAGGACCGUGUUAACUCUGGACUUCCCUGGUGGAUUAAAGGAGAUAACCGGAGCAGAAAGUUGCCAAGAUGGCCACCAGUACUCAGUGAGUACAACAAAAAGAGACGGAAAGGUCAAAACCAACAGUUACUGCAAGGGCAGGACAGUUUCUCAGCUGGAUCUGCUCGGGGCGACGACAACUGUGACUGUAGACGUGCCCAAAGACGGAGAACUGGACCCGUCAUUAUUCACCGUCAAGGCAGCACCAAGAGGCAAGUGCCAGAACAACAUGUCAAAUACAAAGUCAUAUAAAACGAAGUUACAACCUUUAAAUUGACACAAACAUGCGUCAUUAAAUAUACCUGACAUUACGUUGGCGAAACAGUUUUCAUAAUAGUGUAGACCACCGUGUUUGGGUACAGUUAGGUGACUAAAACUUCAAUUUAGUGUCUUUCUCAGACUUUGUUUUUAGCUUUAUUUCACAGAGACAAUGCUCGAUAACCUUAAUGAGCUGGAGUUAGCAUAGCAAGUUAGCAAGAAACUUUCAUGUGUUGUCCCUGGCCAAAUGUUUA
RNAcentral lists this long non-coding RNA (1425 nucleotides) under Sparus aurata (gilthead seabream). RNAcentral describes it as "lncRNA (ENSSAUG00010020077.1)". The record is from RNAcentral. Lineage: Eukaryota; Metazoa; Chordata; Actinopteri; Spariformes; Sparidae.